UAGUCCUAGCAGUAAACGAUGGCUACUAGGUGUGGGGGGUGUUGACCCCUCCUGUGCCGAAGCUAACGCAUUAAGUAGCCCGCCUGGGGAGUACGGUCGCAAGACUAAAACUCAAAGGAAUUGACGGGGACCCGCACAAGCAGCGGAGCGUGUGGUUUAAUUCGAUGCAACGCGAAGAACCUUACCUGGGCUUGACAUUCUCUCGCAACACUCUGAAAGGAGUGCCUCCGCAAGGACGGGAGAACAGAUGUUGCAUGGCUGUCGUCAGCUCGUGUCGUGAGAUGUUGGGUUAAG
RNAcentral lists this ribosomal RNA (294 nucleotides) under uncultured bacterium. RNAcentral describes it as "partial 16S ribosomal RNA". It matches the Rfam family "Bacterial small subunit ribosomal RNA", at positions 791 to 1084 of the family's 1533-position model. The record is from RNAcentral.